RNAcentral lists this ribosomal RNA (253 nucleotides) under uncultured bacterium. Its description in RNAcentral is "partial 16S ribosomal RNA". It matches the Rfam family "Bacterial small subunit ribosomal RNA", at positions 524 to 776 of the family's 1533-position model. The record is from RNAcentral.
UACAGAGGUCUCAAGCGUUGUUCGGAUUCAUUGGGCGUAAAGGGUGCGUAGGUGGCGCCGUAAGUCAGGUGUGAAAUCUCGGGGCUUAACUCCGAAACUGCAUUUGAUACUGCGGUGCUUGAGGACUGGAGAGGAGACUGGAAUUUACGGUGUAGCAGUGAAAUGCGUAGAGAUCGUAAGGAAGACCAGUGGCGAAGGCGGGUCUCUGGACAGAUUCUGACGCUGAGGCACGAAGGCCAGGGGAGCAAACGGG